GGGUUGUGAGGUUAAGCGACUAAGCGUACACGGUGGAUGCCCUGGCAGUCAGAGGCGAUGAAGGACGUGCUAAUCUGCGAUAAGCGCCGGUAAGGUGAUAUGAACCGUUAUAACCGGCGAUUUCCGAAUGGGGAAACCCAGUGUGACUCGUCACACUAUCAUUAACUGAAUCCAUAGGUUAAUGAGGCGAACCGGGGGAACUGAAACAUCUAAGUACCCCGAGGAAAAGAAAUCAACCGAGAUUCCCCCAGUAGCGGCGAGCGAACGGGGAGGAGCCCAGAGCCUGAAUCAGCAUGUGUGUUAGU
Molecule: ribosomal RNA, 305 nt
Filed under: Salmonella enterica subsp. enterica serovar Kentucky
Lineage: Bacteria; Pseudomonadati; Pseudomonadota; Gammaproteobacteria; Enterobacterales; Enterobacteriaceae
Also listed under: 1 other name
Description: partial 23S ribosomal RNA
Rfam family: Bacterial large subunit ribosomal RNA
Source: RNAcentral